RNAcentral lists this ribosomal RNA (404 nucleotides) under Burkholderia mallei. RNAcentral describes it as "bacterial SSU rRNA". It matches the Rfam family "Bacterial small subunit ribosomal RNA", at positions 23 to 429 of the family's 1533-position model. The record is from RNAcentral. Lineage: Bacteria; Pseudomonadati; Pseudomonadota; Betaproteobacteria; Burkholderiales; Burkholderiaceae.
CUCAGAUUGAACGCUGGCGGCAUGCCUUACACAUGCAAGUCGAACGGCAGCACGGGCUUCGGCCUGGUGGCGAGUGGUGAACGGGUGAGUAAUACAUCGGAACAUGUCCUGUAGUGGGGGAUAGCCCGGCGAAAGCCGGAUUAAUACCGCAUACGAUCUGAGGAUGAAAGCGGGGGACCUUCGGGCCUCGCGCUAUAGGGUUGGCCGAUGGCUGAUUAGCUAGUUGGUGGGGUAAAGGCCUACCAAGGCGACGAUCAGUAGCUGGUCUGAGAGGACGACCAGCCACACUGGGACUGAGACACGGCCCAGACUCCUACGGGAGGCAGCAGUGGGGAAUUUUGGACAAUGGGCGCAAGCCUGAUCCAGCAAUGCCGCGUGUGUGAAGAAGGCCUUCGGGUUGUAAA